RNAcentral lists this transfer RNA (84 nucleotides) under Candidatus Omnitrophota bacterium. RNAcentral's name for it is "Candidatus Omnitrophica bacterium tRNA-Leu". It matches the Rfam family "tRNA". Rfam says of the family: Transfer RNA (tRNA) molecules are approximately 80 nucleotides in length. Their secondary structure includes four short double-helical elements and three loops (D, anti-codon, and T loops). Further hydrogen bonds mediate the characteristic L-shaped molecular structure. tRNAs have two regions of fundamental functional importance: the anti-codon, which is responsible for specific mRNA codon recognition, and the 3' end, to which the tRNAs corresponding amino acid is attached (by aminoacyl-tRNA synthetases). tRNAs cope with the degeneracy of the genetic code in two manners: having more than one tRNA (with a specific anti-codon) for a particular amino acid; and 'wobble' base-pairing, i.e. permitting non-standard base-pairing at the 3rd anti-codon position. The record is from RNAcentral. Lineage: Bacteria; Pseudomonadati; Candidatus Omnitrophota.
GCGGGGGUGGCGGAACUGGCAGACGCGCUAGCUUCAGGAGCUAGUGGAAGAAAUUCCUUAAGGGUUCGACUCCCUUCGUCCGCA